AGAGUUUGAUCCUGGCUCAGAUUGAACGCUGGCGGUAUGCUUAACACAUGCAAGUCGAACGGUAACAUGGGUGCUUGCACCUGAUGACGAGUGGCGGACGGGUGAGUAACGCGUAGGAAUCUACCUAGUAGAGGGGGACAACGUGUGGAAACGCACGCUAAUACCGCAUACGCCCUACGGGGGAAAGCGGGGGAUCUUCGGACCUCGCACUAUUAGAUGAGCCUGCGUUAGAUUAGCUAGUUGGUGGGGUAAAGGCUCACCAAGGCGACGAUCUAUAGCUGGUCUGAGAGGACGAUCAGCCACACUGGGACUGAGACACGGCCCAGACUCCUACGGGAGGCAGCAGUGGGGAAUAUUGGACAAUGGGCGAAAGCCUGAUCCAGCAAUACCGCGUGUGUGAAGAAGGCCCGAGGGUUGUAAAGCACUUUCAAUUGGGAGGAAAAAGUAACGGUUAAUAGCCUUUACCUUGACAUUACCUUUAGAAGAAGCACCGGCUAACUCCGUGCCAGCAGCCGCGGUAAUACGGAGGGUGCGAGCGUUAAUCGGAAUUACUGGGCGUAAAGCGUACGUAGGCGGUUCGUUAAGUUAGAUGUGAAAGCCCCGGGCUUAACCUGGGAACUGCAUUUAAACUGGCGAACUAGAGUUGAGUAGAGGGGAGUGGAAUUUCAGGUGUAGCG
This 677-nucleotide ribosomal RNA is filed under the name uncultured bacterium. RNAcentral describes it as "bacterial SSU rRNA". It matches the Rfam family "Bacterial small subunit ribosomal RNA", at positions 8 to 680 of the family's 1533-position model. The record is from RNAcentral.